CGAAAGGGUGACGAAGCGACGCCGCGUGUGGGAGGAAGGCCUUCGGGUUGUAAACCACUGUCGGGAGUUAAGAAAUGUAAGGGUGUUAACAGCAUCCUUACUUGACUAAGGCUCCGGAGGAAGCCACGGCUAACUCUGUGCCAGCAGCCGCGGUAAUACAGAGGCGGCAAGCGUUGUUCGGAAUUAUUGGGCGUAAAGAGCACGUAGGCGGUUCUGCAAGUCGGCUGUGAAAGCCUUCCGCUCAACGGAAGAACAGCAGUUGAUACUACAGGACUAGAGUGCGGGAGGGGAGAGUGGAACUUCUGGUGGAGCGGUGAAAUGCGUAGAUAUCAGAAGGAACGCCGGCGGCGAAAGCGACUCUCUGGCCCGUAACUGACGCUGAGUGUGCGAAAGCUAGGGGAGCAAACGGGAUUAGAUACCCCGGUAGUCCUAGCCGU
This 437-nucleotide ribosomal RNA is filed under the name uncultured bacterium. Its description in RNAcentral is "bacterial SSU rRNA". It matches the Rfam family "Bacterial small subunit ribosomal RNA", at positions 376 to 803 of the family's 1533-position model. The record is from RNAcentral.